Molecule: ribosomal RNA, 274 nt
Filed under: uncultured bacterium
Lineage: Bacteria
Description: partial 16S ribosomal RNA
Rfam family: Bacterial small subunit ribosomal RNA
Source: RNAcentral
AUACGGAGGGUGCGAGCGUUAAUCGGAAUUACUGGGCGUAAAGGGUGCGUAGGCGGCUUGAUAAGUCGGAUGUGAAAGCCUCGGGCUUAACCUGGGAAUUGCAUUCGAUACUGUCAGGCUAGAGUAUGUCAGAGGUUGGCGGAAUUCCUGGUGUAGCGGUGAAAUGCGUAGAUAUCAGGAGGAACACCAGUGGCGAAGGCGGCUAACUGGGACAAUACUGACGCUGAGGCACGAAAGCGUGGGGAGCAAACAGGAUUAGAAACCCUAGUAGUCC